This 84-nucleotide transfer RNA is filed under the name Hyphochytrium catenoides. RNAcentral describes it as "trnS2(tga)". It matches the Rfam family "tRNA". Rfam says of the family: Transfer RNA (tRNA) molecules are approximately 80 nucleotides in length. Their secondary structure includes four short double-helical elements and three loops (D, anti-codon, and T loops). The record is from RNAcentral. Lineage: Eukaryota; Hyphochytriomycetes; Hyphochytriales; Hyphochytriaceae.
GGACAAGUGAUCGAGCGGUUGAUGGUAUCAGUCUUGAAAACUGAAAUGCUUACAGCAUCGUGGGUUCGAAUCCCACCUUGUCCA